GUUCAUGCUCACCUCUCUCUCCAUUGCUUCUCUCGUGUUUGUCUCACAUUGAAUCCAGGUUUCUCGCUUCAAUUCCUUCUCAUUGUACAUUUAAUAGUUGUGAUUCUCAAUUCUUGAAGUUGAAUGGCUGCGUUCUGCAUACGGAUUUACUCUGCUCCUUUGGAAAUUUGAAACCCUAGUGUCGAUUGUGUUUAAAGUGGUUCUCCAACGUGAUGGUGUUUACCGAUUGCUUCUGCAUAGACUAAGGUUGAAAUUGAUAGACUUUGCUUCGAAAGUGAAAGUACAUUCAAAGGAAAACUUGGAAGACUUUGGCAUAGCAUGAGCUUGUCUUCUUCCUUUUUGUUCUUUUUCUUCUGUAUACUCUUGGAUUUUCCUCCCUAGAUAUUGAAUUUUUUGGUACACCAUCUCUUGUCAAUCGGCUCCACUUUUUCAUGAGCUUCUUAACUCCCAUGAUUUAUUAACAACCCGGACAAUAUGCGUUUUAGUAUUUUCUCAAUGAACCAGUCUUCAUUCAUUUAGUCAUCUUUUGCUGUGAGGAAAAAAGAAAAAACCAAUUGCUAAAUGAUAAAUAUUGUUUUAUGGAUCUUGAAGUGGAGGGUUUGGAAAUUAUCGAAUAAGGUUACUACUGCAGCUUUGCACAUGUGCAUACAUGUUUGAGAAAAGUAUCCUGAUCUAUAUGUAUUAUGUCAUUUGCUG
RNAcentral lists this long non-coding RNA (696 nucleotides) under Eucalyptus grandis. RNAcentral describes it as "long non-coding RNA (EGRA_LNC007589)". The record is from RNAcentral. Lineage: Eukaryota; Viridiplantae; Streptophyta; Magnoliopsida; Myrtales; Myrtaceae.